ACGGCUCAGUAACACGUGGAUAACCUGCCCUUGGGUCCGGCAUAACCCCGGGAAACUGGGGAUAAUUCCGGAUAACGCACAUAUGCUGGAAUGCUUUAUGCGUAAAAUGGAUUCGUCUGCCCAAGGAUGGGUCUGCGGCCUAUCAGGUAGUAGUGGGUGUAAUGUACCUACUAGCCAACAACGGGUACGGGUUGUGAGAGCAAGAGCCCGGAGAUGGAUUCUGAGACAUGAAUCCAGGCCCUACGGGGCGCAGCAGGCGCGAAAACUUUACAAUGCGGGAAACCGUGAUAAGGGGACACCGAGUGCCAGCAUCAUAUGCUGGCUGUCCGGGUGUGUAAAAUACACCCGUUAGCAAGGGCCGGGCAAGACCGGUGCCAGCCGCCGCGGUAACACCGGCGGCCCGAGUGGUGAUCGUGAUUAUUGGGUCUAAAGGGUCCGUAGCCGGUUUGGUCAGUCCCCCGGGAAAUCUGACGGCUCAACCGUUAGGCUUUCGGGGGAUACUGCCAGGCUUGGAACCGGGAGAGGUAAGAGGUACUACAGGGGUAGGAGUGAAAUCUUGUAAUCCCUGUGAGACCACCUGUGGCGAAGGCGUCUUACCAGAACGGGUUCGACGUUGAGGGACGAAAGCUGGGGGCACGAACCGGAUUAGAUACCCGGGUAGUCCCAGCCGUAAACGAUGCUCGCUAGGUGUCAGGCAUGGCGCGACCGUGUCUGGUGCCGCAGGGAAGCCGUGAAGCGAGCCACCUGGGAAGUACGGCCGCAAGGCUGAAACUUAAAGGAAUUGGCGGGGGAGCAC
Molecule: ribosomal RNA, 796 nt
Filed under: uncultured Methanosarcinaceae archaeon
Lineage: Archaea; Methanobacteriati; Methanobacteriota; Methanomicrobia; Methanosarcinales; Methanosarcinaceae
Description: bacterial SSU rRNA
Rfam family: Archaeal small subunit ribosomal RNA
Source: RNAcentral